GAUGAACGCUGGCGACGUGCCUAAUACAUGCAAGUCGAGCGAACAGACGAGGAGCUUGCUCCUCUGACGUUAGCGGCGGACGGGUGAGUAACACGUGGAUAACCUACCUAUAAGACUGGGAUAACUUCGGGAAACCGGAGCUAAUACCGGAUAAUAUAUUGAACCGCAUGGUUCAAUAGUGAAAGACAGUUUUGCUGUCACUUAUAGAUGGAUCCGCGCCGCAUUAGCUAGUUGGUAAGGUAACGGCUUACCAAGGCGACGAUGCGUAGCCGACCUGAGAGGGUGAUCGGCCACACUGGAACUGAGACACGGUCCAGACUCCUACGGGAGGCAGCAGUAGGGAAUCUUCCGCAAUGGGCGAAAGCUUGACGGAGCAACGCCGCGUGAGUGAUGAAGGUCUUCGGAUCGUAAAACUCUGUUAUUAGGGAAGAACAAAUGUGUAAGUAACUAUGCACGUCUUGACGGUACCUAAUCAGAAAGCCACGGCUAACUACGUG
Molecule: ribosomal RNA, 497 nt
Filed under: uncultured bacterium
Lineage: Bacteria
Description: partial 16S ribosomal RNA
Rfam family: Bacterial small subunit ribosomal RNA
Source: RNAcentral